GACGAACGCUGGCGGCGUGCUUAACACAUGCAAGUCGAGCGGUAAGGCCCUUUCGGGGGUACGACGAGCGGCGAACGGGUGGAGUAACACGUGGGUGGACCUCGCCCUCCAGCUCUGGGAGUAAGCCUGGGAAACGUGGGUCUAAUACUGGAUAUGACUCCACGGUGCAUGUCGUGGGGUGGAAAGCCUUGUGCGGCUGAGGAUGGGCCCG
This 211-nucleotide ribosomal RNA is filed under the name uncultured bacterium. RNAcentral describes it as "partial 16S ribosomal RNA". It matches the Rfam family "Bacterial small subunit ribosomal RNA", at positions 28 to 233 of the family's 1533-position model. The record is from RNAcentral.